GUUGGCCUGACGGAGAGAUCUUCCAGGCGGCUCCGGCCCAUGGAGGAUGCAGAGCAUCACAUCAGAUCAAACAUUGAUAAACCAGUACUUUACCAGCGUUUUAUCAAUAUCUUUAAAGGACGGGGAGUUUUUGCCACUGAAUUCAUAUCCAAAGGAGACUUUGUUGUGGAGUACCGAGGUGAACUGCUUACACAACAGGAGGGCGAGGUCCGAGCUGAUCAGUACAAUGAUUCUGCAAAGGUGUUUCUUUUCGAUUUCCAAUGGAAAGGAAGAACAUGGUGCAUUGAUGCAUCUGAAGAAGACUCCUCCCUUGGGAGACUCGUUAAUGAUGAUCACUAAAGACUCAAUCUCAAAAUGAAGGCCAUACAAGCAAACGAUGAGCCACACUUGUGCCUCUUCGCGACUCGAGAUAUUGCAGCUGGCGAAGAGUUGACUUAUAGUUACGGUGAUUCAGACUGGCCAUGGAGAACACAGGUCAUCAAAACUGAAUUGUCGUCCAGCCCAAAACCUGGUAAGAACUUUA
Long non-coding RNA from Salvelinus namaycush (lake trout), 523 nucleotides. RefSeq lists it as uncharacterized. The transcript has 4 exons. The record is from RefSeq and is a predicted model, not a curated record. NCBI's taxonomy places the organism in Eukaryota, Metazoa, Chordata, Actinopteri, Salmoniformes, Salmonidae.